UACGUAGGGUGCGAGCGUUGUCCGGAAUCAUUGGGCGUAAAGCGCGUGUAGGCGGUUCGGUAAGUCCGCUGUGAAAGUCGGGGGCUCAACCCUCGAAAGCCGGUGGAUACUGUCGAACUAGAGUGCGGAAGAGGCGAGUGGAAUUCCUGGUGUAGCGGUGAAAUGCGCAGAUAUCAGGAGGAACACCCGUGGCGAAAGCGGCUCUCUGGGACGGUACUGACGCUGAGACGCGAAAGCGUGGGGAGCAAACGGG
This 253-nucleotide ribosomal RNA is filed under the name uncultured bacterium. RNAcentral describes it as "partial 16S ribosomal RNA". It matches the Rfam family "Bacterial small subunit ribosomal RNA", at positions 524 to 776 of the family's 1533-position model. The record is from RNAcentral.